UCCCUCUCAGGGUCGCAGCUGGAGAGUUUCCAGUACUCUACCAGUCUCAACGAUGGGAGGGAGAGUCAGGCAGAGGCCUACCCACUCCAUUCCUAGCUUGGCCAGUGGCAAGUGAGUGGAAGGCAAUCAGCUACAAGC
This 138-nucleotide small nucleolar RNA is filed under the name Ornithorhynchus anatinus (platypus). The record is from RNAcentral. Lineage: Eukaryota; Metazoa; Chordata; Mammalia; Monotremata; Ornithorhynchidae.